AGACGAACUGUCCAAACGUUAUUCGGAAUCACUGGGCUUAAAGGGUGCGUAGGCGGCUCGACAAGUUGGGUGUGAAAGCCCUCGGCUCAACCGAGGAACUGCGUCCAAAACUGUUGGGCUUGAGGAAGACAGAGGUAAGUGGAACUUAGGGUGGAGCGGUGAAAUGCGUUGAUAUCCUAGGGAACACCAGUAGCGAAAGCGGCUUACUGGGUCUUUUCUGACGCUGAUGCACGAAAGCUAGGGGAGCGAAGAGGAUUAGAUACCCUCGUAGUCCUAGCCGUAAACGAUGAGCACUGGUUUGGAGGGUCCUCCAUAGCCUUCCAGACGUAGCGAAAGUGUUAAGUGCUCCGCCUGGGGAGUAUGGUCGCAAGGCUGAA
Molecule: ribosomal RNA, 377 nt
Filed under: uncultured bacterium
Lineage: Bacteria
Description: bacterial SSU rRNA
Rfam family: Bacterial small subunit ribosomal RNA
Source: RNAcentral